GACGAACGCUGGCGGCGUGCUUUACACAUGCAAGUCGAACGGUGAAGGUGGAGCUUGCUCCGCCGGAUCAGUGGCGAACGGGUGAGUAACACGUGGGCAACCUGCCCCUAACUUUGGGAUAACUACUCGAAAGAGUAGCUAAUACCGGAUAUGAAGUCUGUAGGCAUCUAUGGAUUUGGAAAGUCUUUCGGUUAGGGAUGGGCCCGCGGCCUAUCAGCUUGUUGGUGAGGUAGUGGCUCACCAAGGCGACGACGGGUAGCCGGCCUGAGAGGGCGACCGGCCACACUGGGACUGAGACACGGCCCAGACUCCUACGGGAGGCAGCAGUGGGGAAUAUUGCGCAAUGGGCGAAAGCCUGACGCAGCAACGCCGCGUGCGGGAUGAAGGCCUUCGGGUUGUAAACCGCUUUCAGCAGGGAAGAAGCGAAAGUGACGGUACCUGCAGAAGAAGCACCGGCUAACUACGUGCCAGCAGCCGCCGCCG
Molecule: ribosomal RNA, 483 nt
Filed under: uncultured bacterium
Lineage: Bacteria
Description: partial 16S ribosomal RNA
Rfam family: Bacterial small subunit ribosomal RNA
Source: RNAcentral